AUGCUUGAAGCUCUGGACUGCAUCCUACCACCAACUCAUCCAACUGACAAGCCCCUGAGUCUGUCCCUCGAGGAUGUCUACAAAAUUGGUGGCAUUGGUACUGUCCCUGUGGGCAGAGUGGAAACUGGUGUUCUCAAACUCAGCAUGGUAGUAAUCUUUGCUCCAGUCAAUGUUACAACUGAAGUAAAGUUUGUUGAAAUGCACCAUGAAGCUUUGAGUGAAGCUCUUCCUAGGGACAAUGUGGGCUUCAAUGUCAAGAACAUGUCUGUCAAAGAUGUUCGUUGUGGCAAUAUGGCUGGUGACAGCAAAAAUGACCCACAAAUGGAAGCAGCUGGCUUCACAGCUCAAGGUGAUUAUCCUGAACCAUCCAGGCCAAAUCAGUGCUGGACAUGCACCUGUGUUGGAUCGUCACACAGCUCAUAUUGCUUGUAAAUUUGCUUAGCUGAAGAAGAUGAUUGACUGUCGUUCUGGGAAAAAGCUGGAAGAUGGUUCUAAGUUUCUGAAAUCUGGUGAUGCUGCCAUCAUAGAUAUGGUUCCUGGCAAGCCCAUGUGUGUUGAGAGCUUCUCUGACUAUCUCCCUCUGGGCUGCCUUGCUGUUCAUUGCAUGAGACAGACAGUUGCUAUGGAUGUCAUCAAAGCAGUGGACAAGAAGGCAACUGGAGCUGGCAAAGUCACCAAGUCUGCCCAGAAAGCUCAGAAGGCUAAGUGAAUAUUAUCCCCAAUACCUGUCACCCCAGUCUUAAUCAGUGAUAGAAGAAAAGUCUCAGAACUGUUUGUCUCAAUUGGCCAUUUAAGUUUAAUGGUAAAAGACUGGUUAAUGAUUACAAUGCACCAUAAAACCUUCAGAAAGGAAGGAGAAUGUUUUAUGGACCAUUUGGUUUUUUUGUGUGUGUGGCAGUUUUUAAGUUAUUAGUUUUUAAAAUCAGUACUUUUUAAUGGAAACAACUUGACCAAAUAUCUGUCAUAGAAUUUUGAGACCCAUUAAAACAAAGUUUAAUGAGAAAAAAAA
This is an RNA transcript of Molossus molossus (Pallas's mastiff bat), 1009 nucleotides long. It is a transcript of the gene named elongation factor 1-alpha 1-like, with no coding region annotated. NCBI's taxonomy places the organism in Eukaryota, Metazoa, Chordata, Mammalia, Chiroptera, Molossidae. The transcript has a single exon. The record is from RefSeq and is a predicted model, not a curated record.